This 1397-nucleotide ribosomal RNA is filed under the name Klebsiella sp. Its description in RNAcentral is "bacterial SSU rRNA". It matches the Rfam family "Bacterial small subunit ribosomal RNA". Lineage: Bacteria; Pseudomonadati; Pseudomonadota; Gammaproteobacteria; Enterobacterales; Enterobacteriaceae. The record is from RNAcentral.
AGCUACACAUGCAAGUCGAGCGGUAGCACAGAGAGCUUGCUCUCGGGUGACGAGCGGCGGACGGGUGAGUAAUGUCUGGGAAACUGCCUGAUGGAGGGGGAUAACUACUGGAAACGGUAGCUAAUACCGCAUAAUGUCGCAAGACCAAAGUGGGGGACCUUCGGGCCUCAUGCCAUCAGAUGUGCCCAGAUGGGAUUAGCUAGUAGGUGGGGUAACGGCUCACCUAGGCGACGAUCCCUAGCUGGUCUGAGAGGAUGACCAGCCACACUGGAACUGAGACACGGUCCAGACUCCUACGGGAGGCAGCAGUGGGGAAUAUUGCACAAUGGGCGCAAGCCUGAUGCAGCCAUGCCGCGUGUGUGAAGAAGGCCUUCGGGUUGUAAAGCACUUUCAGCGGGGAGGAAGGCGUUAAGGUUAAUAACCUUGGCGAUUGACGUUACCCGCAGAAGAAGCACCGGCUAACUCCGUGCCAGCAGCCGCGGUAAUACGGAGGGUGCAAGCGUUAAUCGGAAUUACUGGGCGUAAAGCGCACGCAGGCGGUCUGUCAAGUCGGAUGUGAAAUCCCCGGGCUCAACCUGGGAACUGCAUUCGAAACUGGCAGGCUAGAGUCUUGUAGAGGGGGGUAGAAUUCCAGGUGUAGCGGUGAAAUGCGUAGAGAUCUGGAGGAAUACCGGUGGCGAAGGCGGCCCCCUGGACAAAGACUGACGCUCAGGUGCGAAAGCGUGGGGAGCAAACAGGAUUAGAUACCCUGGUAGUCCACGCCGUAAACGAUGUCGAUUUGGAGGUUGUGCCCUUGAGGCGUGGCUUCCGGAGCUAACGCGUUAAAUCGACCGCCUGGGGAGUACGGCCGCAAGGUUAAAACUCAAAUGAAUUGACGGGGGCCCGCACAAGCGGUGGAGCAUGUGGUUUAAUUCGAUGCAACGCGAAGAACCUUACCUGGUCUUGACAUCCACAGAACUUUCCAGAGAUGGAUUGGUGCCUUCGGGAACUGUGAGACAGGUGCUGCAUGGCUGUCGUCAGCUCGUGUUGUGAAAUGUUGGGUUAAGUCCCGCAACGAGCGCAACCCUUAUCCUUUGUUGCCAGCGGUUAGGCCGGGAACUCAAAGGAGACUGCCAGUGAUAAACUGGAGGAAGGUGGGGAUGACGUCAAGUCAUCAUGGCCCUUACGACCAGGGCUACACACGUGCUACAAUGGCAUAUACAAAGAGAAGCGACCUCGCGAGAGCAAGCGGACCUCAUAAAGUAUGUCGUAGUCCGGAUUGGAGUCUGCAACUCGACUCCAUGAAGUCGGAAUCGCUAGUAAUCGUAGAUCAGAAUGCUACGGUGAAUACGUUCCCGGGCCUUGUACACACCGCCCGUCACACCAUGGGAGUGGGUUGCAAAAGAAGUAGGUAGCUU